RNAcentral lists this ribosomal RNA (439 nucleotides) under uncultured bacterium. Its description in RNAcentral is "partial 16S ribosomal RNA". It matches the Rfam family "Bacterial small subunit ribosomal RNA", at positions 338 to 795 of the family's 1533-position model. The record is from RNAcentral.
CCUACGGGCGGCUGCAGUGGGGAAUAUUGCACAAUAGGGGGAACCCUGAUGCAGCGACGCCGCGUGAGUGAAGAAGCGCCUCGGCGCGUAAAGCCCUAUCAGCAGGGAAGAAAAUGACGGUACCUGAAGAAGAAGCCCCGGCUACCUACGUGCCAGCAGCCGCGGUAAUACGUAGGGGCAAGCGUUAUCCGGAUUUACUGGGUGUAAAGGGGGCGCAGACGGCGAUGCAAGCCAGGAGUGAAAGCCCUGGGCCCAACCCCGGGACUGCUUUUGGAACUGCGUGGCUGGAGUGCAGGAGGGGCAGGCGGAAUUCCUGGUGUAGCGGUGAAAUGCGUAGAUAUCAGGAGGAACACCGGUGGCGAAGGCGGCCUGCUGGACUGCAACUGACGUUGAGGCCCGAAAGCGUGGGGAGCAAACAGGAUUAGAUACCCCAGUAGUC